AUUGAACGCUGGCGGCAGGCCUAACACAUGCAAGUCGAACGGUAGCACAGAGAGCUUGCUCUCGGGUGACGAGUGGCGGACGGGUGAGUAACGUCUGGGAAACUGCCCGAUGGAGGGAGAUAACUACUGGAAACGGUAGCUAAUACCGCAUAACGUCGCAAGACCAAAGUGGGGGACCUUCGGGCCUCACACCAUCGGAUGUGCCCAGAUGGGAUUAGCUAGUAGGUGGGGUAAUGGCUCACCUAGGCGACGAUCCCUAGCUGGUCUGAGAGGAUGACCAGCCACACUGGAACUGAGACACGGUCCAGACUCCUACGGGAGGCAGCAGUGGGGAAUAUUGCACAAUGGGCGCAAGCCUGAUGCAGCCAUGCCGCGUGUAUGAAGAAGGCCUUCGGGUUGUAAAGUACUUUCAGCGGGGAGGAAGGCGGUGAAGUUAAUAACUUCACCGAUUGACGUUACCCGCAGAAGAAACACCGGCUAACUCCGUGCCAGCCGCCGCCGUAA
This 504-nucleotide ribosomal RNA is filed under the name uncultured bacterium. RNAcentral's name for it is "partial 16S ribosomal RNA". It matches the Rfam family "Bacterial small subunit ribosomal RNA", at positions 30 to 523 of the family's 1533-position model. The record is from RNAcentral.